GGGCCGCGGGGCUGGAGGGUGGCAGCAGGCUCGGCGAGGGGACGUGCGCGCGGACCCGGCACCGAAGGACGCGGCGGCGGGCGCGGGGCGUGCGCGGCGGGGCAGGCGCUCGCUGCUCGCUCGGGAAGCGCCGCUGCGCGUCGCGGCCAUGUCCUGGCUGUGGCGAGAAAUCCUCCUGGAGAGCCUCCUGGGGUAUGUUUCUUGGUCUCUCUGCCAUGGCCUGGGACCGAUGAUUUAUUACUUUCCCCUGCAAACUCUAGAACUCACUGGGCUUGAAGGUUUUGGCAUAGUGUUUCUUUCUCCAAUAUUCCUAACACUUACUCCUUUCUGGAAAUUGGCUAACAAGAAGUGGAUGCUAAUCCUGUUGCGGAUAAUUACUAUUGGCAGCAUCGCCUCCUUCCAGGCUCCAAAUGCCAGAGUUCGGCUAGUGGUCCUUGCCCUUGGAGUGUCUUCCUCGUUGAUAGUACAAGCCGUGACAUGGUGGACAGGAAGUGGCUUACAAAGGUACCUCAGAAUCUGGGGAUUCAUCUUAGGACAGAUUCUUCUUCUUGUUCUCCGCAUAUGGUACACUUCACUAAAUCCAAUCUGGAGUUAUCAGAUGUCCAACAGAGUGAUACUGACAUUAAGUACCAUAGCCACACUUGAUCGCAUUUACACAGAUGGUGACUGCAGUAAGCCAGAGGGGAAAAAUACUGGAGUGGCAGUCAAGGGCGUGGCCUCCAGACCUACCUGGUGCCUGGCAGGGGCUGCCUUUGGCAGUCUCAUGUUCCUCACCCACUGGAUUUUUGGGGAGGUCUCGCUUGUUUCCAGAUGGGCCGUGAGUGGGCACCCCCAUCCAGGGCCAGAUCCUAACCCAUUUGGAGGUGCAGUUCUGCUGAGCUUGGCGAGCGGAUUGAUGCUCUCAGCUUGUUCAUGGUUUCCUGGUACCAGUUUACUCUGGUGGGUCACAGGAGCAGCUUCAGCUGCGGGCCUUCUUUACCUCCCCACGUGGGCAGCUGCCGUUUCUGGCUGUGUGCUUGCUGUCUUCACAGCGUCCAUGUGGCCUCAAGUGCUUGGACAUCUUAUUAGCUCAGGGUCGGGCCCUGGGAAAGCCAUGACCAUUGCCAUGCUAUUUUAUCUCCUGGAGAUACUUUUCUGUGCAUGGUGCACGGCUUUUAAGUUUGUUCCAGGAGGUGUCUACGCUAGAGAAAGAUCUGAUUUGCUUUUGGGGACAGUGAUGCUAAUUAUUGGACUAAAUAUGCUAUUUAGUCCUAAGAAAAGCCUUGACUUUCUUCAAACAAAAAACAGUCCUAAAGUGCUUUUCAGAAAGAGUGAAAAAUAUAUGAAACUUUUUUUGUGGCUGCUUGUUGGUGUGGGGCUACUGGGAUUAGGACUACGGCAUAAAACCUAUGAGAGGAAAUUGGGCAAAGGGGGACCAGCCACAGAGGUCUCUGCUGCCAUCUGGCCUUUUCGGUUUGGCUAUGACAAUGAAGGAUGGUCCAAUCUAGAAGGAUCGGCUCAGCUGCUCAGUCAAACAGGUGCAGAUUUCAUAACAAUUUUGGAGAGUGAUGCUUCUAAGCCCUAUAUUGGGAACAAUGACUUAACCAUGUGGCUAGGGGAGAAGUUGGGUUUCUAUACCGACUUUGGCCCAAGCACAAGGGAUCACACGUGGGGGAUUAUGGUUUUGUCCCGAUACCCAAUUGUGAAGUCAGAGCACCACCUUCUUCCAUCACCAGAGGGCGAGAUCGCACCAGCUAUAACAAUGACUGUUAACAUCUCGGACAAACUGGUGGAUUUUGUUGUGACACACUUUGGGAAUCAUGAAGAUGACCUUGACAGGAAACUUCAGGCUAUUGCUGUUUCAAAACUACUGAAAAGCAGCUCUAAUCAAGUGAUAUUUCUGGGAUAUAUCACUUCAGCACCUGGUUCCAGGGAUUAUACACAGCUCAUUGAACACGGCAAUGUGAAGGAUAUUGACAGCACAGAUCGAGACAGAUGGUGUGAAUAUAUUAUGUAUCGAGGGCUGAUCAGAUUGGGCUAUGCAAGAAUCUCCCGUGCUGAACUGAGUGACUCUGAAAUUCAGAUGGCCAAAUUUAGGAUCCCUGAUGACCCCAUUAAUUAUAGAGACAACCAGAAAGUAGUCACAGACCAGAGGGCAGUUCCUAAGGAAAUUCAUUUCAAUCCUAGAUUUGGAUCCUAUAAAGAAGGACACCAUUAUGAGAACGAUCACCAUUUUCAUAUGAGUACUCCCAAAUACUUUUUAUGACCUAUUUAAAACAGGAUGCAUUGACUGAGCAAGUCUGUGGAAAACAAAAGUAUAUAAGAAGAGAGAUGCAUGAAAAUGGGAAACUACACACAAAGAACCUCAGUUUUGAAAAAAUAUGGAGAAGCAUGCCCAUCACUAUUCUUCCUGGAGCUAUGAUAGAAUCAUCUGUCUUUUCUCUCAUGGCUGUACAUGACACACUGUGGUGUUAUCUCCAGUCAGGCCCCGGCUGUCAGCACACAGGUCCCACAGAAUGCAUUUUCUUCCCUAGAACCAAGCAGGUAGGUGAUGGAGAGAAUUCAGCCCAACAGCACCAUCUCUGUGGGGAAUAGUAAUUUAAAUGUUCAUGGGGGCACAUUUCAUCUUAGGACUGGAAAGGGCCCUAAAUCUUGUUUUAUCUUUUGGGAUAGAGAUCAAAAAAUAUGAGAGAGAAAUUCAGAGGUUUUAUGUCACAAUCUAAGGGGCUUCCUUACAUCUAUUUAGUAAACAUGUACUGAGCACACUGCCAUAUUCAAAAUAUUAUGUCCCUCGGGUUUUAAAAUAUAUCUACAUGAUACUUUCAGGGAUCACAUCAAUAGUUCAUUACUAGAGCAGUUUUUCUGAAUGUGUAGAAUACCCAAGAAUUUUUUUUUUUUUAAGGAUGCAUUUGAACUUAAAUGACCAUCAACUUAAUUUAGACCGCUAUAUACUUAGGACGCUAUAUAUGAACCUCAUGGUAACACAAACCCAAAACCAAUGACAUAGACACAAAAAAUGAAGAGAAAGAAAACCAAACAUAACACUACAGAAACUCAUCAAUCACAAAGAAGGAGAGCAAAAGAGGAGGAAAGGAAUAGAGAAGAACUACAAAAACAAGCAGAAAACAAUAAGAUGGCAAUAAGUUCACACCUGUCUGCUAGAACUUCACAUACAAGUGGCCUAAAUGCUCCAUGCUCCGAUCAAAAGACAUAGGGUGGCAAAAUAUAUUUUAAAAAACCCAAGUCAUCUGUAUGCUUCCUACAAGAGACUCACUUCAGAUGUAAAGACACAUACCAACUGAAAGUAAAGGGAUGUAAACACAUUUACCACGAAAAUGAAAGCAGAAAAAAAAUAUAUAGUAUCAAACAAAAUAGACAAAAUCAGAGAAAACAAAAACUGGAGCAAGAGACAAGAAGGGCAUUACAUAAUUAUAAAGUGAUCAAUCCAACAACAGAGAAUAACAGUUACAAAAUAUAUGCACCCAACAUUGGAGCACCUAAAUACAUAAAGCAAAUAUUAACAGACAUAAAGAGAGAACUUGAUGGUAAUACAAAAAUGGUAGGGGACUUUAACACCCCACUUACAUCAAUGGGUAGAUUAUCCAGGCAGAAAAUCAAUAAGGAAACAGUGUCUCUGAAUGACACACUAGACCAGAUGGAUAUAACAGAUAUAUAUAGAACAUUCUAUCCCAAACCAACAGAAUACACAUUCUUUUCAAGUGUACAUGGAACAUUCUCCAGAAGAGAUCGCACAAGUUAGGCCACACAACAAGCUUCAGUAAAUUCAAGAAAAUUGAAAUCAUACCUGCAUCUUUUUUUUAUCACAAUGGUAUGAAACUAGAAAUCAACCAUAAGAAAAAACCUGGAAAAAGCACAAACACAAACAUGGAGUCGAAACAUAAUACUAAACAACCAAUGGAUCAAUGAAGGAAUCAAAGAAGAAAUUAAAAGCACAUGGAGACAAAUGAAAAUGAAAACACAAUGGUCCAAAAUCUUUGGGAUGCAGCAAAAGCACUUCUAAGAGGGAAAUAUAUAGUGAUACAAGCCUACCUCAGAAAACAAGAAUAAGUUCAAAUAAACAAUCUAACCUUCACAUCUAAAGGAACUAGAAAAAGAAGAACAAAGAAAUCCCAAAGUGAGUACAAGGAAGGAAAUCAUAAAAAUCAGAGCAGAAAAAAAUGACAUAGAAAUGAAAAAAAAAACACAGAAAAAAAAUCAAUAAACCAAGACCUCGUUCUUCAAAAAGAUAAAGAAAAUUGAUAAACCCUUAGCCAGACUCAUCAAGAAAAAAACAGAAAGGACCCAAAUAAAUAAAAUCAGAAAUUAAAGAGAAGUAACUAUGACACUACAGAAAUGCAAAGGAUUAUAAGAGAAUACUAUAGGAAAUUAUAUGCCAACAAAUUGGACAACCUAGAGGAAAUGGAUAAAUUCUCAGAAAUAUACAAUCUUACAAAACCGAAUCCGUAGGAGAAUCUGAACAGACCAAAUACUAGUAAUGAAAUUGAGUUGGUAAUCAAAAAAACUACCAAAAAAUAAAAAUCCAGGACCACACGGUUUCACAGGUGAAUUCUACCAAACACUUAAAAAAGAAUUAACACCUCUUCUCCUCAAACUAUUCCAAAAAAUAGAAGAGGAGGGAAAUCUUCCAAAUAAAUUCUAUGAGGUGAGCAUUACCCUGAUGCCAAAACCAAAUGAAGACACCACAAACCGCGCCCCCCCCCCAAAAAAAAACUAUAGGCCAAUAUCCCUGAUGAAAUAGAUGCAAAAAUCAUCAGCAAAAUAUUAGCAAAUUGCAUUCAACAAUACAUUAAGAGGAUCAUCGGGAUUGAGUGGGAUUUAUUCCAGGGAUGCAAGGAUGAUUCAAUAUGUUGAAAUCAAUCAGCGUGAUAUA
Acinonyx jubatus (cheetah) is the source of this 4870-nucleotide RNA transcript. It is a transcript of the gene named cell wall biogenesis 43 C-terminal homolog, with no coding region annotated. Lineage: Eukaryota; Metazoa; Chordata; Mammalia; Carnivora; Felidae. The transcript has 17 exons. The record is from RefSeq and is a predicted model, not a curated record.